Long non-coding RNA from Hemicordylus capensis (graceful crag lizard), 460 nucleotides. RefSeq lists it as uncharacterized. The transcript has 2 exons. NCBI's taxonomy places the organism in Eukaryota, Metazoa, Chordata, Lepidosauria, Squamata, Cordylidae. The record is from RefSeq and is a predicted model, not a curated record.
CUGUCAGCUCUGCACUGGGGUAUUCAAAGACAAGGCAGCUGAUCAUGAGGGCUGCUUCUGCGUAUGGGAGCCCUCCAGGAGAGGGAACUGGCUGAAAGUAGCAAGCCACGAGGAGGACUCAGGAAUGUUUUGGUUUUUAAGAAGUUCACUCUCUCCAAGAUUACAGAUUUAUGGAGGACGUCCCUCUUUAUCCCUACUAAAUGGGCAAAGAGGCACAUUUUCAACUGAUGGUUCUCUAAUAUACAGCAGGGCAAGAACAACUGACCCAGCAUAGUGUCUCUCCAGCGACUGUGCUGGUGCCUCUUUUAUGGUUUUUGUUUGUUUUGCUUUAGAUUGUGAGCCCUCUGGGGACAGAGCACGCCCUUCUAUUUUGUUUUGCUAUGUAAACUAUUUUGAGAACUUGGUGUAUAUAUUAAUAUCGGCAGUAAAUAAAUAAAUAACUCUGCCAAUUACUACUCAA